Molecule: transfer RNA, 66 nt
Filed under: Platygaster robiniae
Lineage: Eukaryota; Metazoa; Arthropoda; Insecta; Hymenoptera; Platygastridae
Description: tRNA-His
Source: RNAcentral
AUUUAAAUAGUUUAUAUAAAAUAUUAAUUUGUGGAAUUAAAGAAAUUACUAAGAAAAUUUUAGAUU